UUAUUGGAGAGUUUGAUCCUGGCUCAGGAUGAACGCUGGCGGCGUGCCUAAUACAUGCAAGUCGAGCGAAUGGAUUGAGAGCUUGCUCUCAAGAAGUUAGCGGCGGACGGGUGAGUAACACGUGGGUAACCUGCCCAUAAGACUGGGAUAACUCCGGGAAACCGGGGCUAAUACCGGAUAACAUUUUGAACUGCAUAGUUCGAAAUUGAAAGGCGGCUUCGGCUGUCGCUUAUGGAUGGACCCGCGUCGCAUUAGCUAGUUGGUGAGGUAACGGCUCACCAAGGCAACGAUGCGUAGCCGACCUGAGAGGGUGAUCGGCCACACUGGGACUGAGACACGGCCCAGACUCCUACGGGAGGCAGCAGUAGGGAAUCUUCCGCAAUGGACGAAAGUCUGACGGAGCAACGCCGCGUGAGUGAUGAAGGCUUUCGGGUCGUAAAACUCUGUUGUUAGGGAAGAACAAGUGCUAGUUGAAUAAGCUGGCACCUUGACGGUACCUAACCAGAAAGCCACGGCUAACUACGUGCCAGCAGCCGCGGUAAUACGUAGGUGGCAAGCGUUAUCCGGAAUUAUUGGGCGUAAAGCGCGCGCAG
RNAcentral lists this ribosomal RNA (593 nucleotides) under Bacillus toyonensis. RNAcentral's name for it is "bacterial SSU rRNA". It matches the Rfam family "Bacterial small subunit ribosomal RNA", at positions 1 to 574 of the family's 1533-position model. The record is from RNAcentral. Lineage: Bacteria; Bacillati; Bacillota; Bacilli; Caryophanales; Bacillaceae.